Molecule: ribosomal RNA, 465 nt
Filed under: uncultured bacterium
Lineage: Bacteria
Description: partial 16S ribosomal RNA
Rfam family: Bacterial small subunit ribosomal RNA
Source: RNAcentral
GACGAACGCUGGCGGCGUGCUUAACACAUGCAAGUCGAACGGAAAGGCCCUGCUUGCAGGGUACUCGAGUGGCGAACGGGUGAGUAACACGUGGGUGAUCUGCCCUGCACUUCGGGAUAAGCCUGGGAAACUGGGUCUAAUACCGGAUAGGAGCCAUUUUUAGUGUGAUGGUUGGAAAGUUUUUUCGGUGUAGGAUGAGCUCGCGGCCUAUCAGCUUGUUGGUGGGGUAAUGGCCUACCAAGGCGGCGACGGGUAGCCGGCCUGAGAGGGUGGACGGCCACAUUGGGACUGAGAUACGGCCCAGACUCCUACGGGAGGCAGCAGUGGGGAAUAUUGCAAAAUGGGCGCGAGCCUGAUGCAGCGACGCCGCGUGGGGGAUGACGGCCUUCGGGUUGUAAACUCCUUUCGCUAGGGACGAAGCUGUUUGUGACGGUACCUAGAUAAGAAGCACCGGCUAACUACGUG